Molecule: ribosomal RNA, 1340 nt
Filed under: Danaus plexippus (monarch butterfly)
Lineage: Eukaryota; Metazoa; Arthropoda; Insecta; Lepidoptera; Nymphalidae
Description: 16S ribosomal RNA
Source: RNAcentral
GGGGGGAAAAUUAAUAAUUUAAAUAUAAUAAAAGAAAUUUUAAUACGAAAAUGGGGGUUGGAGUAUUAUAAUAGAAAAAAUUUAAAUUUUUAUAGUAAAUUAGUAUUGUAAAAGAAUUAUGAAAUAAUUGAAAAAUAAUUUAUAAAAAAGUAAAUUUAAUUUAUUGUAUCUUGUGUAUCAGAGUUUAUUAAAUAAAUUUAUAUAAAUAUAUAAAUCUCGAAUUUAAAAGAGAUAAUUAAUUAAAAAAGUUAAUGUAGUAUAAUUAUUUUUAAUAGUUAAUUUGCAAUGAAAUGUUAAUCGUUUUUAAAUAUAUCUAGUUUUUUUAGAAAUAAAUUUAAUUUAAAAUUUAUUUUUAAUAAAAAUUUUUUUAAAAAUUUUUAUUAAAUUAAAUUAAAUAUUAAAAGGGAUAAGCUUUUUAAUAAAUACUUAUAAAUAAAUAAAAAUUAUUGAAAUUUUUAAAAUUUAAAUUGUUUAAAAAUUUUAAUUUUUUAUAAAAAAUUUUAAUAAAAAUAAAAUUUAAUAAAAUUUUAAAUUUUUUAUAAAAAAAAAUUUUUUUUUAAAAAAAAAUUGUUAUAAUGAUAAAAUUAGUAUAAAUAAUAAUAAAUAUGUAAUUAUAAUUAUAAUUAAAUAAAAGGAAUUCGGCAAAAUUUUAUAUUCACUUGUUUAUCAAAAACAUGUCUUUUUGAAAAUAAUUUAAAGUCUAAUCUGCCCACUGAUAAAUAUUAAAGGGCUGCAGUAUAUUGACUGUACAAAGGUAGCAUAAUCAUUAGUCUUUUAAUUGAAGACUUGUAUGAAAGAUUUAAUGAAAUAUAAACUGUCUCUUAUUUAAUAAUUAAAAUUUAAUUUUUUAGUUAAAAAGCUAAAAUAAAUUUAAAAGACGAGAAGACCCUAUAGAGUUUUAUAAUUAAUUUAUUUUAGAUUAUAUAUAUAAUUUUUAAUUAAAAAUAAAUUAAUUAUUUUAUUGGGGUGAUAGAAAAAUUAAAAAAACUUUUUUUAAUAGAAAUCAUUAAUAAGUGAAUAGUUGAUCCAUUAAUAAUGAUUAAAAGAAAAAAUUACCUUAGGGAUAACAGCGUAAUUUUUUUUUUUAGUUCAAAUAAAAAAAAGAGAUUGCGACCUCGAUGUUGGAUUAAGAUAAAAUAUAAAUGCAAAAGUUUAAAAUUUUGAUCUGUUCGAUCAUUAAAAUCUUACAUGAUCUGAGUUCAAACCGGUGUGAGCCAGGUUGGUUUCUAUCUUUAGAAAAUUAAAAUAUUUUAGUACGAAAGGAUCAAAUAUUUGAAAUAAUUUUAUAAAAAGAAUAUUAUUAAUAUAAUUAUAUAUAUAUAUAUAUAUAUAUAUAAUUG